AAUGAACGCUGGCGGCAUGCCUUACACAUGCAAGUCGAACGGCAGCAUGACCUAGCUUGCUAGGUUGAUGGCGAGUGGCGAACGGGUGAGUAAUGCAUCGGAACGUGCCUUUUAGUGGGGGAUAACGUAGCGAAAGUUACGCUAAUACCGCAUAUUCUCUGAGGAGGAAAGCAGGGGACCUUCGGGCCUUGCGCUAGAAGAGCGGCCGAUGUCGGAUUAGCUAGUUGGUGAGGUAAAGGCUCACCAAGGCAACGAUCCGUAGCGGGUCUGAGAGGAUGAUCCGCCACACUGGGACUGAGACAAGGCCCAGACUCCUACGGGAGGCAGCAGUGGGGAAUUUUGGACAAUGGGCGCAAGCCUGAUCCAGCCAUGCCGCGUGAGUGAAGAAGGCCUUCGGGUUGUAAAGCUCUUUCGGCUGGGAAGAAAUCGCACCCUCUAAUACAGGGUGUGGAUGACGGUACCAGCAUAAGAAGCAACGGCUAACUACGUG
Molecule: ribosomal RNA, 490 nt
Filed under: uncultured bacterium
Lineage: Bacteria
Description: partial 16S ribosomal RNA
Rfam family: Bacterial small subunit ribosomal RNA
Source: RNAcentral